GGGGGUUCUCAGGUGAUACACCCUGGAACCAGAGAGGAGGGAGCCCAGUUCCGGGGUGCGUCACCGGAGAACUGCC
This is a non-coding RNA of Myotis brandtii (Brandt's bat), 76 nucleotides long. Lineage: Eukaryota; Metazoa; Chordata; Mammalia; Chiroptera; Vespertilionidae. The record is from Rfam.